This 288-nucleotide ribosomal RNA is filed under the name Shigella sonnei. RNAcentral's name for it is "partial 23S ribosomal RNA". It matches the Rfam family "Bacterial large subunit ribosomal RNA", at positions 1466 to 1751 of the family's 2925-position model. The record is from RNAcentral. Lineage: Bacteria; Pseudomonadati; Pseudomonadota; Gammaproteobacteria; Enterobacterales; Enterobacteriaceae.
GGGGGGACGGAGAAGGCUAUGUUGGCCGGGCGACGGUUGUCCCGGUUUAAGCGUGUAGGCUGGUUUUCCAGGCAAAUCCGGAAAAUCAAGGCUGAGGCGUGAUGACGAGGCACUACGGUGCUGAAGCAACAAAUGCCCUGCUUCCAGGAAAAGCCUCUAAGCAUCAGGUAACAUCAAAUCGUACCCCAAACCGACACAGGUGGUCAGGUAGAGAAUACCAAGGCGCUUGAGAGAACUCGGGUGAAGGAACUAGGCAAAAUGGUGCCGUAACUUCGGGAGAAGGCACGC